UUCUGAAGUUUUUCUCAGUAGUUAACUGCAGUCGGUUCCAUAAUUCAGCAGUUAACUACCGAUGGACAU
This 69-nucleotide microRNA precursor is filed under the name Medicago truncatula (barrel medic). Its description in RNAcentral is "MIR2629 microRNA precursor family". It matches the Rfam family "MIR2629 microRNA precursor family". Lineage: Eukaryota; Viridiplantae; Streptophyta; Magnoliopsida; Fabales; Fabaceae. The record is from Rfam by way of RNAcentral.